This is a non-coding RNA of Cinara cedri, 1820 nucleotides long. The record is from the annotation of a GenBank genome assembly. NCBI's taxonomy places the organism in Eukaryota, Metazoa, Arthropoda, Insecta, Hemiptera, Aphididae.
CACGUUUAAAAAAAAUGUUUGUUAAUAUAUUGUAUAUUAUAUAAUUAUGUGAAAUUAAAAAACGGACAAUAUAUAUAAAAAAAAAAAAACACAAAAACCGUAAAAUAAAAAAAAAGCACUGUAACUUGACUGAGUCAAGUAUGUCUUGCAAUAUUAAUACACGGCAAUAAUGAUAAUAAUACUAUUACGUACCCACCGUUGUACAAUAAUAUGUAAAUAACCCGUUACCGUUACGUAUACCUAUAUAGACGAUUCCGUCUUAAUAUGUUAAUCAUGCGUAAUAAUAAUGUAAUAUGUGUAUACAUACAUACAUAGACGGAACGAAAAACAAAAAAAAAAAAAAAAAAAAAAACCUUAAUUAUCCUAUAGGUAGGUAGUAUUAUAAUACACGCCGAGAAAAAAAUAAAAAAUAUAAUACACAAUGCGAUACGCAGACUAUGAUAAAUCGUUAUAUUAUUAUCUUACGGGUAUAGAAAAAAAAAAAAAGCUUAUAUAUAUAUACACAUAUAGAAUAGCGUAAUAUAAUAAUAUACGAAUUAUAAUAUCGUACAUACAUUACGGAUAACAAUAAUUGUUAUUGUAAUCGCAUAGCGCGGAUGCCAGUUGAAAUAUUUCUGAAAUAAAAAAAAAAAAAAAAAUAAGCAAAAACCCGUUGGUUGGUUAUAUUCGGGUGUAUUAUAAUGAUAUACAUUAUUGUAUUAUUGUGUCGUCGCGGAUAAUGUUAUUAGACACCCGAUCAGGACGGAAUCCCGACACUCGAUAUUCGUGUUUACGGUAAAAUAACCGUCCGACUCAGCUUAUGAGUUUUGUAAAUUUUCAAAGUCCGGAUAGGCGGGACAGCGUUUUAGCCGAAUAUUGUCAUUGCAGAGGCAUGGUUUAUAAUUAUAUAUAUAUAUUUUUUUUCAACACGCAACACUAUAAAAGCUCAAAUUGAUCCGGACUGUUCACACUCGAUUUUUAUCGGGGGCAGGCGUACGACGGUGCUUAGUGUGGUACGUUUUUAUUGCCGUUUCGGUGAGGCAAGUCUAUUUGCAAAACCCUAAUACAGCAUAUUAGAGUGUUUCUAUCGUCAGAUGCGUGCUGUAUAGAAAAAAUAAAAAUAAAAAUACUUUGAAAGUCUUGCGAGUGAUUCCUGAAAGUUCGAUCGGGUUCGGUCGUAGCGCCGCUUGGUUUUCGGUUAGUACAGAGGGAGGAUCCAUUUGGCCGUUUUAGCGCGAAUCACAACGGUUUUCUCGGAGGAUUUUAUCAAGUGAAUUUGAUCUGGGUAUGUUAAUUUUAUUUUUAUGUUUUUUUUUUCAAUCAUUACAUGCGGAAUUAGGAAUCCGUUUUAGACGCGGAUUCGAGUAGAUAUCGAUUUUAAGUAUACGUCGAAAAUCCAAAAUCGAACGGAAAAAAACCGCAACGUUAAACGAUCCCGCGGAAGAUUCCCGUACGUUAUGAACUGCGAAAUCGGUCGACAUCCGGAGCCGGGAAACGCCCGGGAAAACCGCCGGUCCGCGAUUGACGGGAGUGAGCCCGGAGUGAGGGCGAGACGGAGCAUCUGCCACCCCCACGGACUGCGACAUUUCAAAUAUAAUUUUAUUUCAAGUACUAUUUUUUUGGUGGUCGAUUUCGUUCGAGAGACCUAACCCGACCUUCCUGGAAUUUCGUUUCCCACUCGGAUUCAACGCCGGCCCUCCGUGGUAAAUUUCCAGCGGGAGCCCAGCCCCGGGCGCACCCUCGGAGUUUUACCCGCUUUAACCGACGCCUGUGCGUUUCGCUCGUCGUCGUCGCCAAAAGUAUGUCGCUCGGUACGACAACGGUAUAUUGUCGGGUGUAGG